This 403-nucleotide ribosomal RNA is filed under the name bacterium. Its description in RNAcentral is "partial 16S ribosomal RNA". It matches the Rfam family "Bacterial small subunit ribosomal RNA", at positions 355 to 776 of the family's 1533-position model. The record is from RNAcentral.
UGGGGAAUAUUGCACAAUGGAGGGAACUCUGAUGCAGCGACGCCGCGUGAACGAAGAAGGCUUUCGAGUCGUAAAGUUCUUUUAUAUGAGAAGAUAAUGACGGUACCAUAAGAAAAAGCCCCGGCUAACUACGUGCCAGCAGCCGCGGUAAUACGUAGGGGGUUAGCGUUGUCCGGAAUCACUGGGCGUAAAGGGUUCGCAGGCGGAAAUGCAAGUCAGGUGUAAAAGGCAGUAGCUUAACUACUGUAAGCAUUUGAAACUGCAUAUCUUGAGAAGAGUAGAGGUAAGUGGAAUUUUUAGUGUAGCGGUGAAAUGCGUAGAUAUUAAAAAGAAUACCGGUGGCGAAGGCGGCUUACUGGGCUCAUUCUGACGCUGAGGAACGAAAGCGUGGGUAGCAAACAGG